This 74-nucleotide transfer RNA is filed under the name Hoplodactylus duvaucelii (Duvaucel's gecko). Its description in RNAcentral is "tRNA-Leu". The record is from RNAcentral. Lineage: Eukaryota; Metazoa; Chordata; Lepidosauria; Squamata; Diplodactylidae.
UAGGGUGGCAGAGCCAGGUAUAUUGCAAGAGGCCUAAGCCCUCUACCCCAGAAGUUCAAAUCUUCUCCCUAAAA